RNAcentral lists this transfer RNA (73 nucleotides) under Phycisphaeraceae bacterium. RNAcentral's name for it is "tRNA-Ala". It matches the Rfam family "tRNA". Rfam says of the family: Transfer RNA (tRNA) molecules are approximately 80 nucleotides in length. RNAcentral also lists the same sequence under 2 other names. The record is from RNAcentral. Lineage: Bacteria; Pseudomonadati; Planctomycetota; Phycisphaerae; Phycisphaerales; Phycisphaeraceae.
GGGGCGGUAGCUCAGUUGGUAGAGCGCCAGCUUUGCAAGCUGGAUGUCGCCGGUUCGAGUCCGGUCCGCUCCA